GUGUUUGCUUAGACAUCACAUAUAUUAAAAAUGGAACAAUACAGAAAAGAUUACCGUGGCUCCUGCACAGGUAUGAGAUGCAAAUUUUUGACAUGGUCCAUAUUUUU
This 107-nucleotide small nuclear RNA is filed under the name Catagonus wagneri (Chacoan peccary). Lineage: Eukaryota; Metazoa; Chordata; Mammalia; Artiodactyla; Tayassuidae. The record is from RNAcentral.